RNAcentral lists this ribosomal RNA (467 nucleotides) under uncultured bacterium. RNAcentral describes it as "partial 16S ribosomal RNA". It matches the Rfam family "Bacterial small subunit ribosomal RNA", at positions 28 to 507 of the family's 1533-position model. The record is from RNAcentral.
GACGAACGCUGGCGGCGUGCUUAACGCAUGCAAGUCGAGCGAGGCCCAUCCUUCGGGGUGGUGCCCUAGCGGCGAACGGGUGAGUAACACGUGGGCAACCUGCCCUCAGCUCUGGGAUAACUCCAAGAAAUUGGUGCUAAUACCGGAUGUGACCGCUGACCGCAUGGUCUGGUGGUGGAAAGAUUCAUCGGCUGAGGAUGGGCCCGCGGCCUAUCAGCUUGUUGGUGGGGUAAUGGCCCACCAAGGCGACGACGGGUAGCCGGCCUGAGAGGGUGACCGGCCACACUGGGACUGAGACACGGCCCAGACUCCUACGGGAGGCAGCAGUGGGGAAUAUUGCGCAAUGGGCGAAAGCCUGACGCAGCGACGCCGCGUGAGGGAUGACGGCCUUCGGGUUGUAAACCUCUUUCAGUAGGGACGAAGCGAAAGUGACGGUACCUACAGAAGAAGCACCGGCCAACUACGUG